AUUUGGAAACAGAUGCUAAUACCGGAUAAAAGCUACUUUCGCAUGAAAGAAGUUUAAAAGGCGGCGUAAAGCUGUCGCUAAAGGAUGGACCUGCGAUGCAUUAGCUAGUUGGUAAAGGUAACGGGCUUACCAAGGCGAUGAUGCAUAGCCCGAGUUGAGAGACUGAUCGGCCACAUUGGGACUGAGACACGGCCCAAACUCCUACGGGAGGCAGCAAUAGGGAAUCUUCCACAAUGGACGCAAGUCUGAUGGAGCAACGCCGCGUGAGUGAAGUAAGGUUUUCGGAUCGUAAAGCUCUGUUGUUGGUGAAGAAGGAUAGAGGUAGUAACUGGCCUUUAUUUGACGGUAAUCAACCAGAAAAGUCACGGCUAACUACGUGCCAGCAGCCGCGGUAAAU
Molecule: ribosomal RNA, 397 nt
Filed under: uncultured Lactobacillus sp.
Lineage: Bacteria; Bacillati; Bacillota; Bacilli; Lactobacillales; Lactobacillaceae
Description: bacterial SSU rRNA
Rfam family: Bacterial small subunit ribosomal RNA
Source: RNAcentral